This 466-nucleotide ribosomal RNA is filed under the name uncultured bacterium. RNAcentral's name for it is "bacterial SSU rRNA". It matches the Rfam family "Bacterial small subunit ribosomal RNA", at positions 28 to 507 of the family's 1533-position model. The record is from RNAcentral.
GACGAACGCUGGCGGCGUGGAUUAGGCAUGCAAGUCGGACGGUAGGGCUUUAUCGUAAGAUAGAGUUUGAGAGUGGCGAACGGGUGAGUAACACGUAGGAAUCUACCCUUAAGACGGGGACAACCCAGGGAAACUUGGGCUAAUACCGGAUGAGAGUGCGAGAGAUUGCAUUUAAAAGGAUGGCGAAAGUUGUCGCUUAGGGAUGAGCCUGCGGUCUAUUAGUUAGUUGGUGAGGUAAGAGCUCACCAAGGCGAUGAUAGAUAGGCGGCCUUAACGGGUGGUCGCCCACACUGGGAUUGAGAUACGGCCCAGACUCCUACGGGAGGCAGCAGUCGAGAAUAGUCUACAAUGGCCGGAAGGCUGAUAGUGCGACGCCGCGUGAACGAGGGAGCCCUUCGGGUGUAAACCUCUUUCAGCAGGGACGAAUGUGACGGUACCUGUAGAAGAAGCACCGGCUAACUACGUG